UAACACGUAGGGUCCAAGCGUUGUCCGGAUUUAUUGGGCGUAAAGAGCUCGUAGGCGGCUUGGCAAGUCGGGUGUGAAAACUCUGGGCUCAACUCAGAGACGCCACCCGAUACUGCUAUGGCUUGAGUCCGGUAGGGGAGCGUGGAAUUCCCGGUGUAGCGGUGAAAUGCGCAGAUAUCGGGAGGAACACCAGUGGCGAAGGCGGCGCUCUGGGCCGGAACUGACGCUGAGGAGCGAAAGCGUGGGGAGCGAACAGGAUUAGAUACCCUGGUAGUCCACGCCGUAAACGGUGGGCACUAGGUGUGGGGGGCCGUCAACGCCCUCUGUGCCGAAGCUAACGCAUUAAGUGCCCCGCCUGGGGAGUACGACCGCAAGGUUA
RNAcentral lists this ribosomal RNA (379 nucleotides) under uncultured bacterium. RNAcentral describes it as "bacterial SSU rRNA". It matches the Rfam family "Bacterial small subunit ribosomal RNA", at positions 521 to 896 of the family's 1533-position model. The record is from RNAcentral.